GUGAAGUGCAAGGAGAGGUAGAUUUUGAACUCUCAUUUGAUGUUCUUGACCACUCAUUGCAUUUGUUUCUGAGUGGACUAAAUAGUGGACUAAUCCCUUGUUCUUCAUCAUCAUUUAACUGAGAUGAGGUAGGGGAUGAUCCACAACUUGAUCUUGUAGAGAAAUUAGGUGAAUCUAAUGGCAAAGGCAAAGGAAAAACAGGAUGAAGUUUCUUCUCUUUUGUGUAUGUGUAGGAAUAGUAACCAUAAUUAGUUGCAAAAGAAGUUGGUGAAUUUUUUGGUAUAAAGAUUGAUUCAUCAAAACUUUUUGGCUUAUUUACUCUAUUCUUCUUGUAAUUUCUUGGAGGAGUUUGUUCAAACCAAGAAGCCAUUUUAACUCUUUG
RNAcentral lists this unclassified non-coding RNA (382 nucleotides) under Hevea brasiliensis (rubber tree). The record is from RNAcentral. Lineage: Eukaryota; Viridiplantae; Streptophyta; Magnoliopsida; Malpighiales; Euphorbiaceae.